UACGUAGGGUCCAAGCGUUAAUCGGAAUUACUGGGCGUAAAGCGAGUGUAGGUGGUUGUCCAAGUUGGAUGUGAAAGCCUUGAGCUCAACUCAAGAAAUGCAUUCAGGGCUGGGCGGCUAGAGGACCGGAGAGGAUAGUGGAAUUCCCAGUGUAGUGGUGAAAUACGUAGAGAUUGGGAAGAACACCAGUGGCGAAGGCGGCUAUCUGGACGGUUUCUGACACUAAGACUCGAAAGCGUGGGGAGCAAACAGG
This 253-nucleotide ribosomal RNA is filed under the name uncultured prokaryote. RNAcentral's name for it is "partial 16S ribosomal RNA". It matches the Rfam family "Bacterial small subunit ribosomal RNA", at positions 524 to 776 of the family's 1533-position model. The record is from RNAcentral.